This 84-nucleotide transfer RNA is filed under the name Spirochaetia bacterium. RNAcentral describes it as "tRNA-Leu". It matches the Rfam family "tRNA". Rfam says of the family: Transfer RNA (tRNA) molecules are approximately 80 nucleotides in length. Lineage: Bacteria; Pseudomonadati; Spirochaetota; Spirochaetia. The record is from RNAcentral.
GUCCGGGUGGUGGAAUUGGUAGACACGCAAGCUUGAGGUGCUUGUGGGAGUUAUCCCGUGGGGGUUCAAGUCCCCCCUCGGGCA